Molecule: transfer RNA, 84 nt
Organism: Macrophomina phaseolina MS6
Lineage: Eukaryota; Fungi; Ascomycota; Dothideomycetes; Botryosphaeriales; Botryosphaeriaceae
Rfam family: tRNA
About the family: Transfer RNA (tRNA) molecules are approximately 80 nucleotides in length. Their secondary structure includes four short double-helical elements and three loops (D, anti-codon, and T loops).
Source: Rfam
GGUUCUAUAGUGUAGUGGCUAGCACUCGGGAUUCUGAAGUACCAGAGUAUUCCCGCAACCCCGGUUCGAUCCCGGGUAGGACCU